GAUGAACGCUAGCGGCAGGCCUAAUACAUGCAAGUCGGACGGGAUUCAGGAGCUUGCUUCUGAUGAGAGUGGCGCACGGGUGCGUAACACGUAUGUAACCUACCUUUAUCAGGGGGAUAGCCUCUCGAAAGAGAGAUUAAGCCCGCAUAAAAUCACAGCACAGCAUUGUGUAAUGAUCAAAUAUUUAUAGGAUAAAGAUGGGCAUGCGGAACAUUAGCUAGAUGGCGGGGUAACGGCCCACCAUGGCGACGAUGUUUAGGGGAUCUGAGAGGAUGGCCCCCCACACUGGGACUGAGACCCGGACCAGACUCCUACGGGAGGCAGCAGUAAGGAAUAUUGGUCAAGGGGCGGAAGCCUGAACCAGCCAUGCCGCGUGCAGGAAGACGGCCCUACGGGUUGUAAACUGCUUUUAUACGGGAAUAAACCCAGAUACGUGUAUCUGGCUGAAUGUACUGUAAGAAUAAGGAUCGGCUAACUCCGUG
Molecule: ribosomal RNA, 482 nt
Filed under: uncultured bacterium
Lineage: Bacteria
Description: partial 16S ribosomal RNA
Rfam family: Bacterial small subunit ribosomal RNA
Source: RNAcentral